UGGAACUUGGUGGGGACAGGGCCACACUGCCUGAUAGGGAGCUCCCCUCCCUGCCUGGGCUUGCAGGUGCCUCACUCUGGUCUCUGCCUCUGUCGUCCCUUGAUGUCCUCCCUGUGUCUCUUCUCACUUCUUAAAGGAACACCAGUGGUCUUAGAUUAGGGCCAUUCUAAUGUCUUCCUCUUUGCUUGAUUACAUCUGCAAAGAUCCUCUUUCCAGAAGGUUUUAAAUAGUGCUUUAGUCACUUGCACAGGGGUUUAAACAUAUCUUUUGGGGGCACAGUCCAGCCCCUAACAGGUUUCCCUGCCUGAGUGGAUGCGCUGUCCCCUGAGUUGGUGGCAGGCACCGCUGUCCUGUGGCCUGCUGCCCUCGUGCUCACGGUUCCUCCCUGAAUCUGAUCACACUGUUGACACUGACAAUCCUGCAGACUUCAGAUCCACUAGGGAAGGAAGUGUGUGCCAGGGAGGUGUUUAAGUUUUUUUAAAAUCCAGUGUCUCCCAGGAGUGAAGACAUUCUUGUGUGUGAAUGUCACUUUGAAAUGAAUCCACACUCACAGGAAGUAGCCGGCCUGCCUGCCCACACUGCCAUGGAAAUACAUGGACCUUCUCAGCUGAGUCUGCGUAUCAGGAGACAUGGACUGACCUCUGCCUGUCCCGGCAAUGGGGGUUGUUUGUGAUUCCUACAUCAGUGACCCUGGCAUGGUGAUUCGGGAUGCUAUAGAAGGAAAAGCCCAGCAGCACAGAAAUGAAAGGAGAAAAAUGCUACCCAUGGAGCUCAUUUCUGAGUACGUGCAAAAUCCGUGUCUGAGCUGCCACACAACAUCGCCGUCUCUCAGGGGGACAUUUUGGACUUUGCAUGAAUAAGCACACAUCUGAGAAAAAUUAAAAAGUAGUUAACUUUUUUCAGUGAAUAACAAAUAUGAAGAUUUUUUUAAAGUAGCAAAUCAUAUACUGAUGAGAUGUGUGAAUGUUAAGGAAGUUCACUGUGCUGGAGUAAGCCUUCCCUGCAGUUAUUUUGGGAUCCCACAUAUUUCUGGCUGUUUAGAACAGAGGUGGAGGUUUUGAUUUCUCCCUGCUGUUAGGUCCUAGCCAGAGAGUGGUGAAAAUCAUCUGGGU
This 1112-nucleotide long non-coding RNA is filed under the name Chinchilla lanigera (long-tailed chinchilla). RNAcentral describes it as "lncRNA (ENSCLAG00000027404.1)". Lineage: Eukaryota; Metazoa; Chordata; Mammalia; Rodentia; Chinchillidae. The record is from RNAcentral.